AAUUAAUGCAAACAAGGUAAGUAAAAUUGAAGUUGUAUAAUAUUAAUUGCACUUUUUUGUGUUUAAAUGUUCAAACCAAAAAGAUGACGAGCGGUUCAUAAUAGAAAUAACGUGAAAACUAAAUCAAGCGUUCUAUCCAAAAUUUAUAAUAAAUAAAGCAAUAAACGAACACAAGAAUACAGAAGCAUAGAGAUAAAAGUGCUCACAACAACACCUGCCUAAAGAAGAGCUCCAAGCAACAAUUGGAAUUCUAAGCAAAAAUAAAAAAAGAAUGAAUAAUAGCAACGAAAAGGAAAAAAUGAGUGAUAAGAAAGGUCAAAGAAGAAUAGUUCGUGUCACAAAUGGGAAAAUGAUGGAAACUACAAAGACUAUGAUGUGUAAAUAUUAAUUGAACCAUUUAUUACUCUUAUCCAAUCCUUUUGUUCUUCAAAAUAUAGAUAAAAACAAGAUCUAAAUUCAUAUAAUUAACUAAUCAUGGCUUUAACACUACAAAUUUCAAACGGUUCCAAAUAAUCAAUCCUAAUCUUUUUUUCUAGAGCCAAAUAUCUCAUAAUCAAAUUCACCAAUAUCUUCGUAAACUCCUACCCGGGGAUUUUCCCGUAUGCACACUGAAGAUAGCGACUGCAUAUGCUCGCGACAUAAAAAAAUAUCACAAAAACCCUAAUGCACAUAGAAAUAGCGUGCUUUACCCAACGCGCACUAAAGAUAACGACCGUACGUAAAUUUCCACAUUAUAAAAAAUAUCACAAAUUACACCUAAUGCGUAUAAAGAUAGCGGUUGCAGAUUCUCACUACGCACAAAAAUUCAUAAUUUUUUGAAAAUUUUCAAUAGUAAAGGAGAAAUGUGACUUGUAUAUAUAUGUCAUGACACAAUACACAAUAGGCUAUAAUUAAUAACCAAAGAAAGAGGCUAUUCAAUAGAACAUCGAAGUGAUGGUUCAAUCUACAGUUGUUGAUAAAAUAAAUUCAGAAAAGACAACAAAAGGAUGACACCACUAUAAAAAGAAUAAGAUAGAAAUGGCAUGUAUUAUUUCACCUAGGAAAAUAUUGGAAUAUUACAAUACCUCCAAAUAUAAGCAAAAAGCAGAAAUAUAAAAAAAAAAGGCAGCAUGUAGUGGAAAGAAAUAAAAAAAACCUGAAAUUACUAUGGCACAGAGACUAGAUGGGGCAGCUCACAGAUUUGAACAGCAUCCUAUGUUUCUCAUUUUUCCAAAGCCUAAAAAGCUAAAUUGCAAAACUAAAGAUAUGACAAAUUUAAUGGUUGUGUGUCAUCUAUGUCUACCCACAUAUCUCAGACAUAACUCUCAGAUUCCACCAGUAUUACUAUAAAAUAAUAUUAAAUAUAAAUAUAAUAAACAAAUAUAGAGUUUUUUUAGUUUAGUAAAACAAAGAGUAAAAUAUGUAUUCACUGCAUUAUUCUCAUAUUCGGACAAAAGAAUGUAGUUUUCACAAUAACCAAACCCUAUAUAUAUAUAUAUUCGAUGUAAUAUUUUCUAGUAUUUAAAAAGUACAGUUAUUUAGUACAAACAUGUUCAGUACAAUAUUCUCAUUUUUUAUAAAAUGUAUAAUUCUCACAAUAUACACAUUUAAAUAUAUAUCUAGAGAGAGGCCAUGGAGAUUAUGGAGAAAUAUCACAGUUAUUUCAAUGCAAACAUACAUACAUAUAUGGAGUACAUAUAUAUAGAGAGAGAGAGGUUACAAAGAGUCAAAGAUUAUGGAGAAAAAUAGAUUGGAAUGUGGUGGAGAUUUAAGUAAUGGAUAUGGUUAGCAAUGGAACCCAUGAAAAGUGAAACAAGUAAUAAAAUAGAGUGAUUAUAUAUGAUUGUUUUAAAGGUGAUAAUAUUAUAUUAAGCAUAAUGGAACCAAAUCAUAUCUUUUUCACUAUACAGCUCGUGAUUAGGGUUUUAUUUUAAUGGGGAGUUUCAGUCAAACUUCUGUUCACUCGUAAAUCGCACCAUCUCUACUAUUCAUUCAACAAGAAGCAGUUGCAGUAAAUUUUUGCAGACAAUAAACCCCCAAUUCCGACGUUUCCCCUCGAACCAAUAAGUCAGAAGUUUGAGCCGAAACAACACCAUCACCUCUAUUUGGGGUUUGACAAAUCCAGCUGCUCAGUUGAUAAAUCGUUUUUUCAAUGAGUAAGAAGAUCGAGAUGGAAAAAAGCAGAAGCAGUCGCAUCUUGGCUGAUAAGACGUUUCCCCUCAAAUCAAAAGGUUCGAGAAAGAGAGGUUACCGGAGUUGAAGAUACGGACGGGGGCGUUGGUGAGGACGUUGAGCUGCGAUUCGAUGCGACGCAUAAAAUCCAUGGCUUCUUGCAAGGGACGAUUUAGCUCUUCUCGAUAUUUCACCAACAUAUCAUAUACUACCAUAAAUUGGUCGAGUUCCGGAUCCUUCGAGUACUCGUCUCGGCUCGCCACCGCCGCCCGCUGACGCGCCUCAAACUCCUCCCGCACGGCCGCCAGCCGCGCCACAACCUCGGCCGGCGCCCCAACCUUCAUAUG
Salvia splendens (bonfire salvia) is the source of this 2498-nucleotide long non-coding RNA. RefSeq lists it as uncharacterized. The record is from RefSeq and is a predicted model, not a curated record. The transcript is spliced from 3 exons. Lineage: Eukaryota; Viridiplantae; Streptophyta; Magnoliopsida; Lamiales; Lamiaceae.